This 395-nucleotide ribosomal RNA is filed under the name uncultured bacterium. RNAcentral describes it as "partial 16S ribosomal RNA". It matches the Rfam family "Bacterial small subunit ribosomal RNA", at positions 523 to 918 of the family's 1533-position model. The record is from RNAcentral.
AUACGUAGGGGGCAAGCGUUAAUCGGAAUUACUGGGCGUAAAGCGUGCGCAGGCGGUUUUGUAAGACAGUGGUGAAAUCCCCGGGCUCAACCCGGGAACUGCCAUUGUGACCGGAAGGCUGGAGUGCGGCAGAGGGGGAUGGAAUUCCGCGUGGAGCAGUGAAAUGCGUAGAUAUGCGGAGGAACACCGAUGGCGAAGGCAAUCCCCUGGGCCUGCACUGACGCUCAUGCACGAAAGCGUGGGGAGCAAACAGGAUUAGAUACCCUGGUAGUCCACGCCCUAAACGAUGUCAACUGGUUGUUGGGGAUUUAUUUUCUCAGUAACGAAGCUAACGCGUGAAGUUGACCGCCUGGGGAGUACGGCCGCAAGGUUAAAACUCAAAGGAAUUGACGGGG